GAUGAACGCUGGCGGCGUGCCUAAUACAUGCAAGUCGAGCGAACAGACGAGGAGCUUGCUCCUCUGACGUUAGCGGCGGACGGGUGAGUAACACGUGGAUAACCUACCUAUAAGACUGGGAUAACUUCGGGAAACCGGAGCUAAUACCGGAUAACAUGUUGAACCGCAUGGUUCAACAGUGAAAGACGGUCUUGCUGUCACUUAUAGAUGGAUCCGCGCCGCAUUAGCUAGUUGGUAAGGUAACGGCUUACCAAGGCAACGAUGCGUAGCCGACCUGAGAGGGUGAUCGGCCACACUGGAACUGAGACACGGUCCAGACUCCUACGGGAGGCAGCAGUAGGGAAUCUUCCGCAAUGGGCGAAAGCCUGACGGAGCAACGCCGCGUGAGUGAAGAAGGUCUUCGGAUCGUAAAACUCUGUUAUUAGGGAAGAACAAAUGUGUAAGUAACUAUGCACGUCUUGACGGUACAUAAUCAGAAAGCCACGGCUAACUACGUG
This 497-nucleotide ribosomal RNA is filed under the name uncultured bacterium. RNAcentral's name for it is "partial 16S ribosomal RNA". It matches the Rfam family "Bacterial small subunit ribosomal RNA", at positions 28 to 507 of the family's 1533-position model. The record is from RNAcentral.